GACCUGUCUAGCGUUGAUUCAGCUAACGAGCGAGAUUAUCGCCAAUUAUAUACUGCGCCUGGGUUUCCAGGUAGCUAAAAUGCAGUUCUAAUUGGGACUCCCUGCGAUUUUAGCAGGCGGAAGAGGGUAGCAAUAACAGGUCCGUGAUGUCCU
RNAcentral lists this ribosomal RNA (153 nucleotides) under Tetratrichomonas gallinarum. Its description in RNAcentral is "partial small subunit ribosomal RNA". It matches the Rfam family "Eukaryotic small subunit ribosomal RNA", at positions 1308 to 1473 of the family's 1831-position model. Lineage: Eukaryota; Parabasalia; Trichomonadida; Trichomonadidae. The record is from RNAcentral.